RNAcentral lists this long non-coding RNA (264 nucleotides) under Elaeis guineensis (African oil palm). RNAcentral describes it as "long non-coding RNA (EGUI_LNC076247)". The record is from RNAcentral. Lineage: Eukaryota; Viridiplantae; Streptophyta; Magnoliopsida; Arecales; Arecaceae.
CGCUGGUCCAGCUUGUCGAUCGUCAGGAAGCCCUUCGACUCGUCAUUUUGAGCGGAGAUCUGGAAGCAUCGUCGGGCGAGCUGUUGAUCCCCGUGCAUCUCCCCGACCUCAUUUUUGGUCGGGAACCGAACGAGGAGAUGGUACAUCGAGAUGAUUGCCUUGAGGGCAUUUAGUCCGGGUCGUCCAAGUAUGGCGUUGUAGGCCGAAGGUACUUGGACGACCGCGAAAGUUAGGUGGACCGUGCUUUGCCGUGGUUCGGUGCCG